AGUGAACGCUGGCGGUAGGCCUAACACAUGCAAGUCGAACGGCAGCACAGUAAGAGCUUGCUCUUACGGGUGGCGAGUGGCGGACGGGUGAGGAAUACAUCGGAAUCUACUUUUUCGUGGGGGAUAACGUAGGGAAACUUACGCUAAUACCGCAUACGACCUACGGGUGAAAGCAGGGGAUCUUCGGACCUUGCGCGAUUGAAUGAGCCGAUGUCGGAUUAGCUAGUUGGCGGGGUAAAGGCCCACCAAGGCGACGAUCCGUAGCUGGUCUGAGAGGAUGAUCAGCCACACUGGAACUGAGACACGGUCCAGACUACUACGGGAGGCAGCAGUGGGGAAUAUUGGACAAUGGGCGCAAGCCUGAUCCAGCCAUACCGAGUGGGUGAAGAAGGCCUUCGGGUUGUAAAGUCCUUUUGUUGGGAAAGAAAAGCAGCAGGUUAAUACCCCGCUGUUCUGACGGUACCCAAAGAAUAAGCACCGGCUAACUUCGUG
RNAcentral lists this ribosomal RNA (492 nucleotides) under uncultured bacterium. RNAcentral's name for it is "partial 16S ribosomal RNA". It matches the Rfam family "Bacterial small subunit ribosomal RNA", at positions 29 to 507 of the family's 1533-position model. The record is from RNAcentral.